UCCAACCGGGACAGUCGGUGGACUAGCGCGAAGUCACAGGCACGAUUAACAGAUCUCCAAGGUCGACUGAUGAGCAGCCAGUAGGACUGCCGGGAGGCUUGGGCUACACCGACGGGCACAGCUGCUGUCAGACUGGGAUGUUUUCUCCACCGCCUGAUCUUGACACACAGCCAGCCAUGAUCGCAGUUGGAAUCUGAGUCAAACUGUUAUCAACUUUUCCAGCGUCAAACGUGGCAAUACUGAGCAAUAUUUGGG
Molecule: long non-coding RNA, 255 nt
Filed under: Myripristis murdjan (pinecone soldierfish)
Lineage: Eukaryota; Metazoa; Chordata; Actinopteri; Holocentriformes; Holocentridae
Description: lncRNA (ENSMMDG00005021671.1)
Source: RNAcentral